AGAUUACCCCGAAGCUUUACUCGCUAGUAAGCCUAAUUCAAAUCAAAUCAUAGAAAGGCCGGACUCGGAUAUGUGCUUAGUUUUUCCCUUUCACUCCCAAGUAGUAACGUGUGAGCCUAAGAAGGGUGCUCUCCUGUGCUGCACGCUUUUUUUUUCCCUUUCUUUCUUUUCACAACGCCAUGACUGCAAAACGUGUGGAAGGAGGAGGAGGGGAGUGAAAUACGUAGCUGGGACCGCUCCUGGGAGCGCCCCCAACCGGCUUGUAGUUGGCGCUGCGUUUCCCGGUUUCUUGCUCCCUCUCUCCCCAAGCCCUUCUCAAACGCGGCGAAAGAAAAGUUGUAUUAAUUAUAGCCAAUCGCCUUUCUCGUGGUUCUUUUUUUUUUCCUUCCCGUCCGCUAUGCUGCAGUAAAAGGAAGUCCACUUCUCGCUAAAUGUGGUCGGAUAGAGUGGAACUGAAAGCCUUCGAGGCGGCUCGUUUUCAGACGUGAUGUGCUUUUUCUCCUCGUAAGAUUCCCGUGCUUUAAUUUCAGAGCAGAACAAGUAUCGUUUUAGUAGCCGAAGAAUUAAUUUGUACAUGUCCGGUCACGGUGGCGGUCAAAAGUACGGAAUUUGCUGUCAAAUUGCAGUCAAACUAUGACAGCCGUGUGGUGUGUUUAACUCCUUUCAUCACUGAUUUGCCCCAUUGCUUCAUAAGCUGUUUCCAGCUGUCUUCAUGUGUUCGUGUGUGCACAGCCAUUUUACUUCACUGGGAAGAAAGGAAGGAAGGAAGGAAGGACCAGAAUGCUGCCCUUGUCUCCACCUUGAGUCUUCUAAUCGGACAUGCAUAAAAUUGCAUUGUAAUACUAUUUGCAGUUGAAAAAAAUAAUAAAACUGAGUUAAAAG
Molecule: long non-coding RNA, 882 nt
Organism: Pantherophis guttatus
Lineage: Eukaryota; Metazoa; Chordata; Lepidosauria; Squamata; Colubridae
Source: RefSeq, a predicted model, not a curated record